UGGGGAAUUUUGGACAAUGGGGGCAACCCUGAUCCAGCCAUCCCGCGUGUGCGAUGAAGGCCUUCGGGUUGUAAAGCACUUUUGUCCGGAAAGAAAUCCUUGGCUCUAAUACAGUCGGGGGAUGACGGUACCGGAAGAAUAAGCACCGGCUAACUACGUGCCAGCAGCCGCGGUAAUACGUAGGGUGCAAGCGUUAAUCGGAAUUACUGGGCGUAAAGCGUGCGCAGGCGGUUUGCUAAGACCGAUGUGAAAUCCCCGGGCUCAACCUGGGAACUGCAUUGGUGACUGGCAGGCUAGAGUAUGGCAGAGGGGGGUAGAAUUCCACGUGUAGCAGUGAAAUGCGUAGAGAUGUGGAGGAAUACCGAUGGCGAAGGCAGCCCCCUGGGCCAAUACUGACGCUCAUGCACGAAAGCGUGGGGAGCAAACAGGAUUAGAUACCCUGGUAGUCCACGCCCUAAACGAUGUCAACUAGUUGUUGGGGAUUCAUUUCCUUAGUAACGUAGCUAACGCGUGAAGUUGACCGCCUGGGGAGUACGGUCGCAAGAUUAAAACUCAAAUGAAUUGACGGGGUCAUAGCUGUUUCCU
Molecule: ribosomal RNA, 585 nt
Filed under: uncultured bacterium
Lineage: Bacteria
Description: partial 16S ribosomal RNA
Rfam family: Bacterial small subunit ribosomal RNA
Source: RNAcentral